Poecilia latipinna (sailfin molly) is the source of this 168-nucleotide long non-coding RNA. RefSeq lists it as uncharacterized. The transcript has 3 exons. Lineage: Eukaryota; Metazoa; Chordata; Actinopteri; Cyprinodontiformes; Poeciliidae. The record is from RefSeq and is a predicted model, not a curated record.
AACACAAUCACUAUAACGUUAGCCCUUGUUGAGAAAAUAAAUUUAAAAUAAGCUAGUUUUAAAACUUAACAUGUCUUGAUUCAAAUGGCCUAAUUGUGGUUUUGAAUUUACUAAUGGAUUCUGGCCUAUUGACUUAUGUUAGAUGUAGUUCCAGCAGAUGGUUUGCUA